UACCACCCUUGUAUGUUUGAUGUUCUAACUUAGACCCAUUAUCUGGGUUGAGGACAGUGCCUGGUGGGUAGUUUGACUGGGGCGGUCUCCUCCCAAAGAGUAACGGAGGAGCACGAAGGUGGGCUAAUCACGGUUGGACAUCGUGAGGUUAGUGCAAUGGCAUAAGCCCGCUUAACUGCGAGAAUGACGGUUCGAGCAGGUGCGAAAGCAGGUCAUAGUGAUCCGGUGGUUCUGUAUGGAAGGGCCAUCGCUCAACGGAUAAAAGGUACUCCGGGGAUAACAGGCUGAUACCGCCCAAGAGUUCAUAUCGACGGCGGUGUUUGGCACCUCGAUGUCGGCUCAUCACAUCCUGGGGCUGAAGUCGGUCCCAAGGGUAUGGCUGUUCGCCAUUUAAAGUGGUACGCGAGCUGGGUUUAGAACGUCGUGAGACAGUUCGGUCCCUAUCUGCCGUGGGCGUUGGAAGAUUGAAGGGGGCUGCUCCUAGUACGAGAGGACCGGAGUGGACGAACCUCUGGUGUUCGGGUUGUGUCGCCAGACGCAUUGCCCGGUAGCUAAGUUCGGAAUUGAUAAGCGCUGAAAGCAUCUAAGCGCGAAGCGAGCCCUGAGAUGAGUCUUCCCUGAUACUUUAAGUAUCCUAAAGGGUUGUUCGAGACUAGAACGUUGAUAGGCAGGGUGUGUAAGCGUUGUGAGGCGUUGAGCUAACCUGUACUAAUUGCCCGUGAGGCUUAACCAUACAACACCCAAGG
RNAcentral lists this ribosomal RNA (746 nucleotides) under Vibrio cholerae. Its description in RNAcentral is "partial 23S ribosomal RNA". It matches the Rfam family "Bacterial large subunit ribosomal RNA", at positions 2198 to 2925 of the family's 2925-position model. Lineage: Bacteria; Pseudomonadati; Pseudomonadota; Gammaproteobacteria; Vibrionales; Vibrionaceae. The record is from RNAcentral.